CGACUAUAAAUCAACAAUUUACCGAUCAUAACAUAAUUGGUCGCAGACACUCUUUUCCACCCACUGGAAUACCACCAAUCAUCACCUCGCCAAAUCCACCACCACUGCCAGCUUCACUAGCUCCAAAACCACCCAAAUCCCCAAUACCACCAAAACACAGACGACCACCACUACUCUACUCUAACAACCAAAAAAACACCACCUCCACCAAUACCCACACUAUCGCACCACCAUCGCCCCAUCACUACCACCACCAUUGCAAAAUCAUAUCCAUCCACACUUAACAAAUCAGAAACACACCUCUGCUUACACAAACCUCACCUAGCCACCACCACUGAAAAAUAAAUCAAAAAUCGCAACAUUGUCGAGGGUAGAACCACCAACGAUAGCACCACCACCCACCACUAAUAAACCACCUCAAUAAACUAUCACAAAAACUACCUCAAAACCACUUGUGACCACCGCCCGCAGCUGCCUGAACCAUCGCCCCCGCCACAACCCCAAUCAACAUAGCCCAAACACAUAACACAAACGCGCGGCCACCACCACCAAAAUACACCAUCAUUGGAAUGAAGUCAUCGGAGAAGCUAAUUCCUGCCCCUUUCUUUAAUCCAUCCUUAAUUUGUUCAAUUUCUGUACCCAUCUUUAUUUCUUGUCGUCGCAGCUAGGUUGAUAAUGGAGGGAGGAGAGAGAGAGAGAGAAGAAGAAGAAGAAUUUGAUUACGAUAUGAGGGAGGUGGGAUGGUGGAGGGGUAUAGAGAGAAUGAAGAACAGGUGCUAGGUUGAUAAUGGAGGGAGGAGAGAGAGAGAAGAAGAAUUUGAUUACGAUAUGAGGGAGGUGGGAUGGGGGAGGGGUAUAGAGAGAAUGAAGAACAGGUGGCGGCUUGGCUUUUAAGAGAAAGACAG
Molecule: long non-coding RNA, 905 nt
Filed under: Olea europaea subsp. europaea
Lineage: Eukaryota; Viridiplantae; Streptophyta; Magnoliopsida; Lamiales; Oleaceae
Source: RNAcentral